UACGUAGGGUGCGAGCGUUAAUCGGAAUUACUGGGCGUAAAGAGUGCGUAGGCGGUUUCUCAAGUCCGCUGUGAAAGCCCCGGGCUCAACCUGGGAAUGGCAAUGGAUACUGGCAGGCUAGAGUGCGGUAGAGGGUAGUGGAAUUCCCGGUGUAGCGGUGAAAUGCGUAGAGAUCGGGAGGAACACCAGUGGCGAAGGCGGCUACCUGGACCAGCACUGACACUGAGGCACGAAAGCGUGGGGGAGCAAACAGG
Molecule: ribosomal RNA, 254 nt
Filed under: uncultured bacterium
Lineage: Bacteria
Description: partial 16S ribosomal RNA
Rfam family: Bacterial small subunit ribosomal RNA
Source: RNAcentral